Molecule: ribosomal RNA, 253 nt
Filed under: uncultured bacterium
Lineage: Bacteria
Description: partial 16S ribosomal RNA
Rfam family: Bacterial small subunit ribosomal RNA
Source: RNAcentral
UACGAAGGGGGCUAGCGUUGUUCGGAAUUACUGGGCGUAAAGGGCACGUAGGCGGUUAUUUAAGUCGGGGGUGAAAUCCCGGGGCUCAACCCCGGAACUGCCUUCGAUACUGGGUAUCUUGAGUUCGGUAGAGGUGAGUGGAAUUGCGAGUGUAGAGGUGAAAUUCGUAGAUAUUCGCAGGAACACCAGUGGCGAAGGCGGCUCACUGGUCCGAUACUGACGCUGAGGUGCGAAAGCGUGGGGAGCAAACAGG